Molecule: long non-coding RNA, 944 nt
Organism: Bos taurus (domestic cattle)
Lineage: Eukaryota; Metazoa; Chordata; Mammalia; Artiodactyla; Bovidae
Source: Ensembl
GAAGCAGCCGGUUUCUACAGGAUGCGCUCCAGGCGCGGAAGUCUGACCUCAGAAACGUGGGGGAGGGAGUGGAAGCACAUGGUCCGGCUGGAGGUUUACUACUUUUAUUAAUCAUCUCGGAGAACAAGCGUUCCUGUCAAUAUUCUGCACUCUCUUCUCCACCACGACGGACUUGGGCUCUCACACGUGCUGUGGUCUCCUCUGCUCUCUUGGUUUCCGAAGGCGAGUGCUGAGGACACGUGACUCUUGCCCUGCUGGAGGUCUUUAGUGCUUCAGCUGUGCCUCCGUCUCCCCAUCAAAGACCAUGAACUCCUGCACCAAGCAUGUCUCCCCACUUGGCUGAUUUACUUCGGAGGUCGCUUGUCUGUAACCCAUCGCGGUUCACCUGCAGUCGCAUGGGGUCUUCACCCCCAGUGGGUGAAGCCUUCUAAGUCAGCAGCUUCUCUCCUGUAACCGGGUGGCGCGUGCUGGCAGCUGGCUCCUGGGUGUAGUUCUCCGUCUGGCCUCGAGGACUCGCAGGAAGGACGCACAGAUCUGAUCCUGAGAGCGGCCUCAACGCCAGCCCACAGCUGGCCCCACGUUCUGGCCACGGAGGGGCCCUGGAUGCAUGCCUGGAAACACCGCUGGAGGCCACAGCCCACCAGUGUAGACAUCGGCAAAGAGAGAUGUCCCCUGAGCCAGGCUCAGGGGCCGAGGUGCUGACGUGCUCACGUGCCCACACCGUGCCAACAGGCUCUGAGACUGAACCUCAGGGAAUAUGACUGACCGUGUCACCCACCAGCUCUCACCCUCAUCUGCCCUGUCUGCAAAGACACCUCCCCGCCCUGCUCCUCCCUCUGCGAGCCCUAGGGCGUUUCUCUAACAAAACUCGUCUACUGACCCCCAGGACACUGCGAUGACUCAGCUUCAAAACGAGACACAGACACGUGAGACUACUUGUGGUC